UCGGGAAUUUUGGGCAAUGGGCGAAAGCCUGACCCAGCAACGCCGCGUGAAGGAUGAAGUUUUCGGAAUGUAAACUUCGUAAAAAUAGGAAGAAUAAAUGACGGUACUAUUUGUAAGGUCCGGCUAACUACGUGCCAGCAGCCGCGGUAAUACGUAGGGACCAAGCGUUGUUCGGAUUUACUGGGCGUAAAGGGCGCGUAGGCGGCAAUUCAAGUCAUCUGUGAAAUCUCCGGGCUUAACUCGGAACGGUCAGAUGAUACUGCUUUGCUAGAGUGCAGAAGGGGCAAUCGGAAUUCUUGGUGUAGCGGUGAAAUGCGUAGAUAUCAAGAGGAACACCUGAGGUGAAGACGGGUUGCUGGGCUGACACUGACGCUGAGGCGCGAAAGCUAGGGUAGCAAACGGGAUUAGAUACCCACGUAGUCCCUGAGCGGGCUGGCAAGGCGCAU
RNAcentral lists this ribosomal RNA (446 nucleotides) under uncultured bacterium. RNAcentral's name for it is "bacterial SSU rRNA". It matches the Rfam family "Bacterial small subunit ribosomal RNA", at positions 355 to 825 of the family's 1533-position model. The record is from RNAcentral.